This is a non-coding RNA of Trichomycterus rosablanca, 366 nucleotides long. NCBI's taxonomy places the organism in Eukaryota, Metazoa, Chordata, Actinopteri, Siluriformes, Trichomycteridae. The record is from the annotation of a RefSeq genome assembly.
AUGAUCUCCACGUUCCUCCUUCAGCUGCUGCUGCUAUCAGCCGUUUGUUGUGUCCAGGGUGUGGAUCUGAUCCAGUCUGGAUCUACAGUCGUAAAUCCUGGUCAGUCGAUGACACUGAGCUGUAAAGUGUCUGGAUAUUCAUUAACUGACAGAGGCUACUGUACACACUGGAUACGACAACCUGCUGGAGGAGCUCUGGAGUGGGUUGGAGAGAUCUGUGGAGAUGGAAACACUUAUUACAGUGAGAGACUGAAAAGCAGGUUUCAGGUCAGCAGAGACACGUCCAGUAGUACAGUUACGUUAGGAGGACAGAAGAUGCAGAGUGAAGAUACAGCUGUGUAUUACUGCGCUCGUGAACCACAGUGA